AAAUACACAUCUCUCUCUCUCUCUCUCUCCAAAUUUUGUUUUCUUUCUUUGGGAACUUUGAUCCGAGAAGGACAUAAUGUCAGGCGUGGAGAGUGUCAAAGAGCAAGAGCACGUGGAUCCCGAGGAUAAAAGUUCCAUGCCCUCAUCGAAAGAGGAGGAAGAAGUUGUGAAGAAAAAAUAUGGAGGAAUCUUGCCCAAGAAACCACCACUCAUUUCUAAGGACCAUGAACGAGCUUACUUUGAUUCUGCCGAUUGGGCACUUGGAAAGCAAGGUGGUGAGAAACCUAAAGGACCUCUUGAAGCACUUCGGCCAAAACUACAGCCUACACAACAGCAGACACGAUAUCGAAAGUCUCCUUACGCUCCAUCAGAUGGUGAAGGUGUUCCAGAUACAGGAAGCUCACCAUCAGAGGAUGCACCUGCAAAUGAAUG
RNAcentral lists this unclassified non-coding RNA (432 nucleotides) under Hevea brasiliensis (rubber tree). Lineage: Eukaryota; Viridiplantae; Streptophyta; Magnoliopsida; Malpighiales; Euphorbiaceae. The record is from RNAcentral.